Long non-coding RNA from Acyrthosiphon pisum (pea aphid), 1047 nucleotides. RefSeq lists it as uncharacterized. The record is from RefSeq and is a predicted model, not a curated record. The transcript has 7 exons. Lineage: Eukaryota; Metazoa; Arthropoda; Insecta; Hemiptera; Aphididae.
AUGUUAAAUUGAUAUUUAGAUAUAAAUUUGUUUAAUCAAUUUUCAGAUUUGCACUACAUAUUGAGUUUUGAGAUGAGGAAUUUUAAAUGGACAAUGGACAUAGCUGUACAUUUGAAGCGGACCACCAUCAAAGGAAAAAUACAUACAACUCGCUCAGUAUAGUUUAUGUAUUACAUCUACAUAAUUCUACUGGUUUAAAUUUAAUGAUUUGCACUACAUAUUGAGUUUUGAGAUGAAGAAUUUUAAAUGGACAAUGGACAUAGCUGUUCAUUUGAAGCGGACCAUCAUCAAAGGAAAAAUACAUACAACUCGCUCAGUAUAGUUUAUGUAUUACAUCUACAUAAUUCUACUGGUUUAAAUUUAAUGAUUUGCACUACAUAUUGAGUUUUGAGAUGAGGAAUUUUAAAUGGACAAUGGACAUAGCUGUACAUUUGAAGCGGACCACCAUCAAAGGAAAAAUACAUACAACUCGCUCAGUAUAGUUUAUGUAUUACAUCUACAUAAUUCUACUGGUUUAAAUUUAAUGAUUUGCACUACAUAUUGAGUUUUGAGAUGAGAAAUUUUAAAUGGACAAUGGACAUAGCUGUACAUUUGAAGCGGACCACCAUCAAAGGAAAAAUACAUACAACUCGCUCAGUAUAGUUUAUGUAUUACAUCUACAUAAUUCUACUGGUUUAAAUUUAAUGAUUUGCACUACAUAUUGAGUUUUGAGAUGAAGAAUUUUAAAUGGACAAUGGACAUAGCUGUACAUUUGAAGCGGACCACCAUCAAAGGAAAAAUACAUACAACUCGCUCAGUAUAGUUUAUGUAUUACAUCUACAUAAUUCUACUGGUUUAAAUUUAAUGAUUUGCACUACAUAUUGAGUUUUGAGAUGAGGAAUUUUAAAUGGACAAUGGACAUAGCUGUACAUUUGAAGCGGACCACCAUCAAAGGAAAAAUACAUACAACUCGCUCAGUAUAGUUUAUGUAUUACAUCUACAUAAUUCUACUGGUUUAAAUUUAAUGAUUUGCACUACAUAUUGAGUUUUGAGAUGAAGAAUUUUAAA